This 163-nucleotide ribosomal RNA is filed under the name uncultured bacterium. RNAcentral describes it as "partial 16S rRNA". It matches the Rfam family "Bacterial small subunit ribosomal RNA", at positions 355 to 511 of the family's 1533-position model. The record is from RNAcentral.
UAGGGAAUCUUCCACAAUGGGCGAAAGCCUGAUGGAGCAACGCCGCGUGUGUGAUGAAGGGUUUCGGCUCGUAAACACUGUUGUAAGAGAAGAAUGACAUUGAGAGUAACUGUUCAAUGUGUGACGGUAUCUUACCAGAAAGGAACGGCUAAAUACUUGCCAC